RNAcentral lists this unclassified non-coding RNA (3436 nucleotides) under Leishmania donovani. Its description in RNAcentral is "gene:LdHU3.15.0670(CDS-product:metalloprotease_pu tative)". The record is from RNAcentral. Lineage: Eukaryota; Euglenozoa; Kinetoplastea; Trypanosomatida; Trypanosomatidae.
CGAGCACACCAAGUUGCAGGCACCCACCAGCCCACACCAACCCACCCACACACACACACACUUAUAUAUAUAUAUAUAUAUAUUAGACGUGCACUCAAGUUCAUAGACUGCAGAAGAAGAUAGGCGCAUAUCCUGUGUGAGCAGCGACGAAGACGGCGGGGCAUCAGAGAGACCCCAUCUCUGCCGCCACGCCGUCGAUUACGUCCACGGCGGAUACGCACGUACACACAGAAGAGGAGGGCCGACAGACACCCCGGAGCAGACGCAUGUUCGACGCUCUUCGCUCCAUUCGGCGGCAGGCCGAUGCCGUGCAGGCGGCGGCACAAAAACGUUGCCUUUUUGACUCCCCUGCCGCGCCCCGCACCACGGACGAUCGUCGCUGGUUGUUCCCGUAUCUGUGCGACAUCAACCGGCGUCAGCGCGCCUUCUGCAGCAAGCUCGAGGCCGACGGAGAUCCCCAAGGCAGGCGUGCGGGGUCGGACGGCGACACUCUCCCCGUCGCCGCUGGGUCACCCGCAAGCCAUCAAGUUGCGGAGGUCUGCAUGCGCUACUCUCGGCCCUUGGCAGCUACCGCGUUAGCCGGUUCGCAGCGCUGUGGCGCUGGGGUUGCUGAUCUGCUCUCUACCACGGGACUCCUCCGUGAAGCGUCCCGGGACGACGCCGAGCUGUCAGUCGUCAGGGACGCGCUUCCAAUGUGUACCUUGUGGGGAUCUGUUCUUCGUCUGUGGUGCACCGCGGGGGGAGAAUGUCCAAAUCUGCGCACUCUUGCUGCAGCUGCCCAGCUGCAGUGCCUCUCGCCGCGUGGCAAACCGUUGGAAGCAGAUGAUGCUGGCAUGCGGUGCAUGUGUGCCGCCUUGUGGGCGGGAGCGCCAGACAAGCUGCGGCGGCUCCUGGACGCGGUGGGCAUGAGCAAGGACAACGACGCCGCGUCAGAGGAGCGAGGACGGCGUCACACAAAUUUGUCGCGCGCAGGCUCGCCAGCGGCGAGGAGUGCGCCGCCUCAGAGGCGGCCUCGCAGCCCUGCAGAGCGCGGCACCGACGACGCACCUCAGAGGAGAGCUCGUCGCGAUGCAGGUGUCAACAGUGCGCUGGGCGAGGGCGGUGGUGCCACCAGCUCCCUCGUCCCGUCCCUCCCUCUCCGGGCUACCUCUGCCCGUGCCCAGGCAACCGCCUCACGAUCACGCUCGCAAACUCCGCCGUCGCGCAGCCGUUCACAGUCGCCGCCGCCGCCGGUGUCCGUCGCGCCGGCCACCCGGCCUGCGACGGCGGCACGCACGCGUCAGUCCGCUUUCUCUUUCGCAGUGCGAGUCGGCGACAGCAGUGGCGGCACCGCGGCUGUCAGUGCAGCCGUCGCGCCGAAGCCCCAGCAGCAGCAGCAGGAGCGGGAGAACGGUGAUGCGAGUGACAUGGCUGGAGUGACGGAGAGUCAAACGGGGCUAGUCAGCAGCGCGCCACACUCGCACGACGGCCCACCGCAGUCGCAGCAACAUCCUGCUAGCGUGUCGCCGUCUGGACCGCUUCGCCAGAAGACCCUCGCGGCAUUUAUCAGCGGCGGUGGACUCUCCAAACCACACCAAUGCCAACAGCAGAAGCCUCCGCCACCCGCCUCGACUGCGAAGCGCUCAUCAUGGUUUAACCAACCGCCACAGCAGCAGCCUGUUGCCCCAUCCAAGGCCCCGCCGUACGAGCACGGCCUGCGUCAUAGCACCGGCAGCAGCAGGAUCGGCGGGGGCGUUGAUCGAGGGGAUGAGGAGAGCUCGCGUGCUCUGAUGGCGGCACCGAGUAGUGGGAACAACCUGGCGCCGAGCAGCAGCAUCAGCAGCCCAUCCACCACUAUUGGCGGCUUCGUCACGGCUGGUGAGCAGCUCCUCACGGACGUCCGGCAAGGACGCACCAUGAGCUCCGCGUAUCUGAGCAAGCGGUCUCCAGCCCUCGGGCUGCGGCGAAACACCGGCUUUCAGCCUCCACAUCAUCAACAGCAGCCGAAGACGCCAGCAGGCGCGACCGACGUACAGACCGCGCUGAACAGCAUAACAACACCUCAUGUACGCAAAGGAAUCGGUGGCGCAAGUCAGGCCGCUGGACCGUCAGGUGGCACUUGCGGGGUCCGCGGCACGGGAGGCGCCACCGCGAGCCACAACCAAGGCGAUGGGGACGACGACAGCGGGAGCUUUCCGGCCUCCCUGCUGCUGCCAGACGGCUCUGUCCCGCCGAUCCUCCUGCCACUCGACCCGAAGCUCGUGACGCAGGUGGCGAUGGAGAUACUGGAGAACGGCGCCGGCGCGCGGCAGGUGGGCUGGGACGACAUCGCAGGGCUGCAGCACGCCAAGGCGAGCGUGGAGGAGGCGAUCGUAUGGCCGCUGCGCCGUCCAGACCUGUUUGUAGGGCUGCGCGACCCGCCGCGCGGGCUGCUGCUCUUCGGCCCACCCGGCACUGGAAAGACGAUGAUCGCCCGCGCGAUCGCGAACCGCGCGGCGUGCACCUUCCUGAACAUCUCGUCCUCCUCGCUCAUGUCCAAGUGGGUGGGCGAUGGCGAGAAGCUGGUGCGCUGUCUUUUUGCCGUCGCGACUGUGAAGCAGCCGAGUGUCAUCUUCAUCGACGAAAUCGACUCGCUGCUGUCCGUGCGCGGAGAGGGGGAGACGGACUCCGUGCGGCGAGUCAAGACGGAGUUUUUGGUGCAGCUGGACGGUGUGGCGACGGACCGCGGCGACCGGGUGCUCCUCAUUGGGGCAACCAACCGACCAGACGAGCUGGAUGAGGCCGCACGGCGGCGCAUGGAGAAGCGGCUAUACAUCCCGCUGCCGGACGAGGCGGCCCGGCGUGAGCUGAUUCAACGUCUUCUCAAGUCGCUCGGCCCAAGUGAAGCGGACGAGGAUGGCGCCCUUGGCAGUGCUGGCAAGGCUGCCAGCACUGCCACUGCGACGACAACAACUCAAGUCACGCAUACGCUUACCGACGCCGACCUGGACAGUCUCGUGCGCAGCACUGACGGCUACUCUGGUGCCGACCUCAAGCAGCUCUGCAGGGAGGCCGCCAUGGGGCCUCUUCGUGAGAUGUCUGUCAUGCAGCUCAGCGCCGUGGCUGCUGCCGAUCUCCGACCGGUGCAGCGCAAAGACUUUAGGCAAGCCCUGAAGCGGCUAAAGCCCAGCGUGGGGCCGGCCGAGGUGCAGCGAUACGUAGAAUGGAAUAAGCUUUUCGGCUCCUUCAAUGAGCACGACGACGAUGAAGACGACGAUGACGAGCUCGAACAUCAAGAGGGCCAUGGCGCCUGCUGAUUGCCGAGAAGUCCACCUGCCCAGCCGUCAGGGUCACACAUGCGCACGUACAACCACACGUGAGAGCACACAACAGCACAACCUUCUCGCGCCAGCAGCGGAUAAGAAAUGGAGAGAUGCAGUGACGGUGGCGGCAAGUUUGAAGACUGAGAGGCACGGCC